ACGAAGGGGGCUAGCGUUGCUCGGAAUCACUGGGCGUAAAGCGCACGUAGGCGGAUCUUUAAGUCAGGGGUGAAAUCCCAAGGCUCAACCUUGGAACUGCCUUUGAUACUGGGGAUCUCGAGUCCGGAAGGGGUUGGUGGAACUGCGAGUGUAGAGGUGAAAUUCGUAGAUAUUCGCAAGAACACCAGUGGCGAAGGCGGCCAACUGGUCCGGUACUGACGCUGAGGUGCGAAAGCGUGGGGAGCAAACAGGA
Molecule: ribosomal RNA, 253 nt
Filed under: uncultured prokaryote
Description: partial 16S ribosomal RNA
Rfam family: Bacterial small subunit ribosomal RNA
Source: RNAcentral